ACGCUCGACACCUACGGGAGGCGGCAGUGGGGAAUAUUGCACAAUGGGGGAAACCCUGAUGCAGCGACGCCGCGUGGAGGAAGAAGGUCUUCGGAUUGUAAACUCCUGUUGUUGGGGAAAAAGAGGAUGGUACCCAACAAGGAAGUGACGGCUAACUACGUGCUAGCAGCCGCGGUAAUCUGAGCGGGCUGGCAAGGC
This 198-nucleotide ribosomal RNA is filed under the name uncultured bacterium. Its description in RNAcentral is "partial 16S ribosomal RNA". It matches the Rfam family "Bacterial small subunit ribosomal RNA", at positions 328 to 539 of the family's 1533-position model. The record is from RNAcentral.